Molecule: non-coding RNA, 1112 nt
Organism: Paramuricea clavata
Lineage: Eukaryota; Metazoa; Cnidaria; Anthozoa; Malacalcyonacea; Plexauridae
Source: the annotation of a GenBank genome assembly
CAUGUACGCGUCGCGUACCUAUUUUUUUAAAUGCCAUCAUUUGAAGGAAUUAUAGAUAAGAUUACUGUGUGCAAAAAAUUAAAGUGUUUACCGAAGAAAUUUUCAAAAAAUUAUCAAAGAAUCUGCAAAUUGGCCCUUUUUUAAAUCGCGUUGUUACCAUGGCAACGUGGAUUUUUAACGACAUUUUUUAUUUUUCGUAAUUCGCGAUAUUGUAGCAGUUAUGUGGUCAAGUUUCGUGAUCAUACUUUGCAAGAUGAUAAAAUAAUGUUUUUUUUAAUACAAUUGUGUGCUGUACAAUCAAAACUGUAUGGAGCCACCUUAACUGGCCUUUAAAAACGGUAAAUAGAACUAUUUACGAGUAUUUCUGGGAUUUCAUUCUUUGUAAGAUAUGUCGAAAACUCCUCACUCUAUUGCAUGCAAUUUAAAUUUCAUGAAACAAAUUUCAAUCUGUCACUUCCGUUUCUCUGACUAAACAUGAAUAUCUCAAAAUUAACAUCAUGACAAAUCAGACAACAUACAUCAGUUAUACCGAGACGAGCAGGCCUAGCAAGUUUCCAGAUUUGUUAAGUAGACUGAUCUGCCCGACUAAACCAGUGCCUUUUUUAAGGAAUUUUCACUGGGGGAGCAAAACAGGAAAAAAAGGCAGAACGAAAAAUAUGAGCCGUCGAGGUUUGGCGAAAGCGCGAGUCUGAAGAGAGAUUUUGUAAAACUUUAAUUUAUUAACUUCACCUAUAUCUUACUUUAAACAAUAACUUCAACUCUUUGUAGCUAUAAUCGUACAGCUAUAACCAGUGGCGUAGCCAGACCUUAAUUUUUUUGGGGGGGUCGAACCUCCCGCCGAAGGCGUGAGACCGUUUAGGAGGGUCCGUCUAGGAGGGGCAUGCACCCCCGGGAUAAUUUUGAAAUCUAGGGUCCCUGAAUUGCGAUUUCAAGCAUUUUGGGGUGAAAUCUAGCAGAAUUCCGAAGAUUAUAAAGUAUAUCGAAGACAUGAAUUUUUCCAGACAUUUCUACUCGGAAUUAAAUAAAUUGGAAAAGUCGCCUUGAAAAAUAGGAGGAGGGGUCAGUGUCACCUUAUUUCCUCUCUGUGAUGCUGGGGGGGGGGGGGGGGGGGG